CCUACGGGAGGCUGCAGUGAGGAAUAUUGGUCAAUGGGAGAGAUCCUGAACCAGCCAAGCCGCGUGAGGGAAGACGGCCCUAUGGGUUGUAAACCUCUUUUGUCGGAGAACAAAACCCGGGACGUGUCCCGGACUGCGUGUAUCCGAAGAAAAAGCAUCGGCUAACUCCGUGCCAGCAGCCGCGGUAAUACGGAGGAUGCGAGCGUUAUCCGGAUUUAUUGGGUUUAAAGGGUGCGUAGGCGGAUCGUUAAGUCAGUGGUCAAAUUGAGGGGCUCAACCCCUUCCCGCCAUUGAAACUGGCGCUCUUGAGUGAGCGAGAAGUAUGCGGAAUGCGUGGUGUAGCGGUGAAAUGCAUAGAUAUCACGCAGAACUCCGAUUGCGAAGGCAGCAUACCGGCGCUCAACUGACGCUGAGGCACGAAAGCGUGGGGAUCGAACAGGAUUAGAUACCCUGGUAGUC
RNAcentral lists this ribosomal RNA (459 nucleotides) under uncultured bacterium. Its description in RNAcentral is "partial 16S ribosomal RNA". It matches the Rfam family "Bacterial small subunit ribosomal RNA", at positions 338 to 795 of the family's 1533-position model. The record is from RNAcentral.